UCUAUUGUUUUGUACAAUUAUUUAUUUUUUAUAAGAUAUAAUUGUCGAUAUAACGAAUCACAGAAAGACAUUACUCCGACAACUAAAACAAACUUAACCGUCUAAUGAUAGCAAAUAUAAUCAACUCAGAUUGCGACAUAUUUGUACUACUGUGGCAAUGUAAUUUUUAUGAUUGCUUCUAUUUUCAGUCUUUGACAAGCUUUUAUAUGAUUGCUUCUAUUUUUGGUUGAUUAACUUAAUUUAAAUCAGGUUAUAUAUGAUUGUUUCUAUAGAAGUUAUUUUUUUAGAAAAUGAAUUUUCAUGGAUUUAGUACUAAUUUUGGAAUCUACUUGUCAUCUGGAGAAUGAAUAUGAAAAUGAUGUAUAAAACUUGUUUAAUUUCUGAGUUUGUGCUGCAUAUGAUUUGGAUUUGGUUACAAGACUUUAACUUUUUGAAGAAUGUUCAUUUUGUUAUAGCUACCCUUAUCUUGAGCAGCUAGCAGGAUGAAUAUAUGAAUAUGCAUACAAAGGUAUGCUAAGGAGGUUCCAUUUGGUUUACAAGAAGUACUUGUGUCUGCUGUUUGAACGGAUUUGGAACCCGAGAGAAUGUUGCAUUUUGUAGUUGUGUUUGGGGUGUUUUCUGGUGGACUGGCUUUUCUGCUGUGCUGAUUUUUUUUUCUGUUGUUCGCAGGUUCUGUUUGCUGUUUUGGUGGGUGCUGCCUUCUGUUAAGGGCGGCUGCUGCUAUGUGCACCUGCUGUCAGCUGGUGUUUUUUUUGUUGUUGUUGUCAGCAGCUUCUGUGGUGCGGUUCAGCACGUGUUGGUGUGCUUGGGGGCUGGGUUUGGUGCGGCGUUAUGCGUAGGGGGUCAUUGUUCUUGUCCGGCUGCCUUUCCGGAUAGUUUUUGGGUCUUUGUAUACCUUUGCAUCAGUCACUUGCUUUAGGAGGCUGAGUUUUUCUUUUUGUUUGGCUCUUUUUGGUGUGGUUUGGGUCAGGUGUUCCGCCUAUAUACGACAUCCUUGUUUGUGUUGAUUUGUUUCGUUUUGCUUGCGCGGUUGGUUAUUGUGCAGCUUGCACCCUUCCGUUGCUUAAUAAAUUUUGCAGAUUCAAAUAAAAAAAAA
This is a long non-coding RNA of Medicago truncatula (barrel medic), 1096 nucleotides long. RefSeq lists it as uncharacterized. The record is from RefSeq and is a predicted model, not a curated record. NCBI's taxonomy places the organism in Eukaryota, Viridiplantae, Streptophyta, Magnoliopsida, Fabales, Fabaceae. The transcript has 2 exons.